UACUACAACUCCGUUUGAGUCGCAAGUCAUCUCUGUCGAUAGGCUCAUUAUAUGACUUCCUUUCGCCAAAUUGUUGGUUUUGUCUUGUCAACCUCUACUCUCGCAGACAACGAAGAAGACGGAUGACUGACUGGACAUAAUCUCUGUCACCUGAUCUCGAGUGAUUUUUUCUCUUCAGACGCAGAUCUGAGGCGUUCUUUUUGGCUAAUGUUAUAGUCAUCACCGCUGGCUACUAGACCUACAGGGUGAUGUUGGUGCUCAUCGUACUGUUGCUACGGCAGAACGUGAAAUGUGAGAGACAAUACUAUCCCAUCCGGGAUCAUAUCUCGGUCAGUCGCUUUCAUCGCGUUUCUACAAGACGAAUCGAGACGUUAGUCAUGUCUGUUGAAAGGUUCGCUUUGUAUGUUUAUGCCACUGAAUAGCCGGUUUUGUCUCUUGACUCUUUCUGUUGCAGGGCGGUGAGAAAGGUGAUCGACCUACGGGACAUAAUCUCUGUCACAGUAUGAGCGCACUUGUUGGGUUCUACAGCUUUCAGAAAUUCUCUUGUGGAAGUGGUGGAGGAGGCAACGACAUCACAAUCUCAUUCACUACAUCCAGUUAAUCAACGUAGUUAUAUGAAUCAGAUGACCUGCUAACGUUUCUAUGCCAUCAAUGAGAGAAGUAAGACACAUGGUCAACAUCAAAUACAGAAGUUUAGGUAUAGACUUGUUAUUUGCUUGUCUCGCCUGCCAUCUUUGUUGAAGCAAUUGAAGAAAAUGCAGAAGAGCCACCAGACAGAACAGUCACACAAACGUCUGUCACAAGCAAUACAAUCUAUUAGCUCUGACAUUCCUGCAUGAAAUGGCUGCAGAAUCCAAAGCAAAGAAACAAACUUCAAGAGGAGGAGAUAUGACUGAUUGUGUGAAGAAAUUUCAAAUGGAACAUUCAGUUGUACGUGGUUUAUGAAGAUGGAGUGAGAUAAAAAGAUAAAGUCGGAUAGAAAGAUGACAUGUCACUGAGUAUCAAGAAAGACUAUUUACUCUAAUGAUUAGCUGACUCUUCAUGUUCUCCGUCUAUCAGUAGGAGUAAUAGUGACACAUCAAAUGGUCUUCCUCUCUUGUCAUUGUGGUCACGUGAUGUUUACUCUACAGGUCACGUGAUGUUUGUAACGAUAUUGAUGAGAACAAGCGUCUCAUAGUGUGAAGACUGAAUAUUUAUUUCUAGAUACUUUUAUUUGUUUAAAAGGUGUUUUGUAUUAUGAAAUAUAGAGUAGAAUGUAAAUAGUAAACAAUGAUAUAGAAUACUCUAAAAUAGUUAUGAUU
Long non-coding RNA from Corticium candelabrum, 1301 nucleotides. RefSeq lists it as uncharacterized. Lineage: Eukaryota; Metazoa; Porifera; Homoscleromorpha; Homosclerophorida; Plakinidae. The record is from RefSeq and is a predicted model, not a curated record. The transcript has 6 exons.